This 463-nucleotide ribosomal RNA is filed under the name uncultured bacterium. RNAcentral's name for it is "partial 16S ribosomal RNA". It matches the Rfam family "Bacterial small subunit ribosomal RNA", at positions 28 to 507 of the family's 1533-position model. The record is from RNAcentral.
GACGAACGCUGGCGGCGUGCUUAACACAUGCAAGUCGAACGGAAAGGCCUUUUCGGAGGUACUCGAGUGGCGAACGGGUGAGUAACACGUGGGUGAUCUGCCCUGCACUCUGGGAUAAGCCUGGGAAACUGGGUCUAAUACCGGAUAGGACCGCACUUUAGUGUGUGUGGUGGAAAGUUUUUUCGGUGUAGGAUGAGCCCGCGGCCUAUCAGCUUGUUGGUGGGGUAAUGGCCUACCAAGGCGGCGACGGGUAGCCGGACUGAGAGGUUGGUCGGCCACAUGGGAAGUGGAAACCGGCCAAGACCCGAGCGGGGGGAAGGGGGGGGGAAUAUGGCAAAAGGGGGGAAGGCCUGAGGCGGGGCGGCCGGGGGGGGGAUGAGGCCCUUGGGGUUGAAACCUCCUUCGGCAAGGAAGAAGGCGUUUUGUGACGGAACCGGGGAAAGAAGCCCCGGAUAACUAGGGG